This 433-nucleotide ribosomal RNA is filed under the name uncultured bacterium. RNAcentral's name for it is "partial 16S ribosomal RNA". It matches the Rfam family "Bacterial small subunit ribosomal RNA", at positions 29 to 507 of the family's 1533-position model. The record is from RNAcentral.
AACGAACGCUGGCGGCAUGCCUAACACAUGCCAGUCGAACGAGACCUUCGGGUCUAGUGGCGCACGGGUGCGUAACGCGUGGGAACCUGCCCUUAGGUUCGGAAUAACUCCCCGAAAGGGGUGCUAAUACCGGAUAAUGUCUUCGGACCAAAGAUUUAUCGCCUUUGGAUGGGCCCGCGUUGGAUUAGCUAGUUGGUAGGGUAAAAGCCUACCAAGGCGACGAUCCAUAGCUGGUCUGAGAGGAUGAUCAGCCACACUGGGACUGAGACACGGCCCAGACUCCUACGGGAGGCAGCAGUGGGGAAUAUUGGACAAUGGGCGAAAGCCUGAUCCAGCAAUGCCGCGUGAGUGAUGAAGGCCUUAGGGUUGUAAAGCUCUUUUACCCGGGAUGAUAAUGGCAGUACCGGGAGAAUAAGCGCCGGCUAACUCCGUG